CAAGGCGUAGCUAUAAACCACAAAGCAUUCAGCUUACACCUGAAGAUGCCCUAAGACGGGGUCGCCUUGA
RNAcentral lists this transfer RNA (70 nucleotides) under Tetraogallus tibetanus (Tibetan snowcock). Its description in RNAcentral is "tRNA-Val". The record is from RNAcentral. Lineage: Eukaryota; Metazoa; Chordata; Aves; Galliformes; Phasianidae.